RNAcentral lists this microRNA precursor (141 nucleotides) under Vicugna pacos (alpaca). RNAcentral's name for it is "miRNA (ENSVPAG00000016236.1)". The record is from RNAcentral. Lineage: Eukaryota; Metazoa; Chordata; Mammalia; Artiodactyla; Camelidae.
CAGGACGCCCAGUCAAAUUUGAAUUUAGACAAACAACAAAAAACUAUUUCGUAUAAGUGCCUCUUAUGCAAUAUUUGGGCCAUACUUAUGUUAAAAUAAUUUAUCAGUUAUCCGAAAUUCAAACUUAACUAGGCCUCCUGU